UGAGCGCGCUGUUGGUCAUGCGCGUCUAAGCAGUGAGGUGUGGAAUGAGGCAAAUCCCAUUCCUAUAACAUUGAGCUGUGAUAGCAAGGGGAUUUAUCCCUGAGUCCCUGAUUUCACGCUGCCAAGAAAAGCCUCUAGCGAGGCGGGAGGUGCCUGUACCGCAAACCGACACAGGUAGGCGAGGAGAGAAUCCUAAGGUGAUCGAGAGAACUCUCGUUAAGGAACUCGGCAAAAUGACCCCGUAACUUCGGGAGAAGGGGUGCUCUGGUAGGGUGUUAAAGCCCGAGAGAGCCGCAGUGAAUAGGCCCAGGCGACUGUUUAGCAAAAACACAGGUCUCUGCAAAACCGCAAGGUGAAGUAUAGGGGCUGACGCCUGCCCGGUGCUGGAAGGUUAAGAGGAGAGGUCAGCGCAAGCGAAGCUUCGAAUUGAAGCCCCAGUAAACGGCGGCCGUAACGAUAACGGUCCUAAGGUAGCGAAAUUCCUUGUCGGGUAAGUUCCGACCCGCACGAAAGGCGUAACGAUCUGGGCACUGUCUCAACGAGAGACUCGGUGAAAUUAUAAUACCUGUGAAGAUGCAGGUUACCCGCGACAGGACGGAAAGACCCCGUGGAGCUUUACUGUAACCUGAUAUUGAAUUCCGGUGCAGCCUGUACAGGAUAGGUAGGAGCCUUGGAUUCCGGAGCGCUAGCUUCGGAUGAGGCGUUGGCGAUACUACCCUGGCUGUAUUGGACUUCUAACCCAUGCCCCUUAUCGGGGCAGGAGACAGUGUCAGGCGGGCAGUUUGACUGGGGCGGUCGCCUCCUAAAGAGUAACGGAGGCGCCCAAAGGUUCCCUCAGAAUGGUCGGACAUCAUUCGUAGAGUGCAAAGGCAUAAGGGAGCUUGACUGCGAGACCUACAAGUCGAGCAGGGUCGAAAGACGGGCUUAGUGAUCCGGUGGUUCCGCAUGGAAGGGCCAUCGCUCAACGGAUAAAAGCUACCCCGGGGAUAACAGGCUUAUCUCCCCCAAGAGUCCACAUCGACGGGGAGGUUUGGCACCUCGAUGUCGGCUCAUCGCAUCCUGGGGCUGUAGUCGGUCCCAAGGGUUGGGCUGUUCGCCCAUUAAAGCGGUACGCGAGCUGGGUUCAGAACGUCGUGAGACAGUUCGGUCCCUAUCCGUCGCGGGCGCAGGAAAUUUGAGAGGAGCUGUCCUUAGUACGAGAGGACCGGGAUGGACAUACCUCUGGUGUACCAGUUGUCUUGCCAAAGGCAUCGCUGGGUAGCUAUGUAUGGACGGGAUAAAUGCUGAAAGCAUCUAAGCAUGAAGCCCCCCUCGAGAUGAGAUUUCCCAUUACGCAAGUAAGUAAGGUCCCUCAAAGAAGAUGAGGUUGAUAGGUCUGGGGUGGAAGCGCGGCGACGUGUGGAGCUGACGGAUACUAAUCGAUCGAGGACUUAACC
This 1436-nucleotide ribosomal RNA is filed under the name metagenome. RNAcentral describes it as "bacterial LSU rRNA". It matches the Rfam family "Bacterial large subunit ribosomal RNA", at positions 1487 to 2925 of the family's 2925-position model. The record is from RNAcentral.